Molecule: ribosomal RNA, 305 nt
Filed under: uncultured bacterium
Lineage: Bacteria
Description: bacterial SSU rRNA
Rfam family: Bacterial small subunit ribosomal RNA
Source: RNAcentral
GCCUACGGGAGGCAGCAGUGAGGAAUAUUGGUCAAUGGGCGGGAGCCUGAACCAGCCAAGUCGCGUGAGGGAAGACGGUCCUAUGGAUUGUAAACCUCUUUAGGCGGGGAGCAAUGCCGGGCACGCGUGCCCGGAGGGAGAGUACCCGCAGAAUAAGCAUCGGCUAACUCCGUGCCAGCAGCCGCGGUAAUACGGAGGAUGCGAGCGUUAUCCGGAUUUAUUGGGUUUAAAGGGUGCGUAGGCGGUCCGUUAAGUCAGCGGUAAAAUUGCGGGGCUCAACCCCGUCGAGCCGUUGAAACUGGCAG